AACGCUAGCUACAGGCUUAACACAUGCAAGUCGAGGGGCAGCAUGGUCUUAGCUUGCUAAGGCCGAUGGCGACCGGCGCACGGGUGAGUAACACGUAUCCAACCUGCCGUCUACUCUUGGACAGCCUUCUGAAAGGAAGAUUAAUACAAGAUGGCAUCAUGAGUCCGCAUGUUCACAUGAUUAAAGGUAUUCCGGUAGACGAUGGGGAUGCGUUCCAUUAGAUAGUAGGCGGGGUAACGGCCCACCUAGUCUUCGAUGGAUAGGGGUUCUGAGAGGAAGGUCCCCCACAUUGGAACUGAGACACGGUCCAAACUCCUACGGGAGGCAGCAGUGAGGAAUAUUGGUCAAUGGGCGAGAGCCUGAACCAGCCAAGUAGCGUGAAGGAUGACUGCCCUAUGGGUUGUAAACUUCUUUUAUACGGGAAUAAAGUUAGCCACGUGUGGCUUUUUGUAUGUACCGUAUGAAUAAGGAUCGGCUAACUCCGUGCCAGCAGCCGCGGUAAUACGGAGGAUCCGAGCGUUAUCCGGAUUUAUUGGGUUUAAAGGGAGCGUAGGCGGGUUGUUAAGUCAGUUGUGAAAGUUUGCGGCUCAACCGUAAAAUUGCAGUUGAUACUGGCGACCUUGAGUGCAACAGAGGUAGGCGGAAUUCGUGGUGUAGCGGUGAAAUGCUUAGAUAUCACGAAGAACUCCGAUUG
This 694-nucleotide ribosomal RNA is filed under the name uncultured bacterium. Its description in RNAcentral is "bacterial SSU rRNA". It matches the Rfam family "Bacterial small subunit ribosomal RNA", at positions 32 to 715 of the family's 1533-position model. The record is from RNAcentral.